GAUGAACGCUGGCGGCGUGCCUAAUACAUGCAAGUCGAACGCAACACCUUCGGGUGUCGAGUGGCGGACGGGUGAGUAACACGUGGGUAACCUGCCCAUCAGCCUGGGAUAACCACCGGAAACGGUGGCUAAUACCGGAUAUGUCUACGGGUGAAAGUCGGGUUUUCUGACACUGAUGGAUGGACCUGCGGCGCAUUAGCUAGUUGGUGAGGUAGUGGCUCACCAAGGCGACGAUGCGUAGCCGACCUGAGAGGGUGAUCGGCCACACUGGGACUGAGACACGGCCCAGACUCCUACGGGAGGCAGCAGUAGGGAAUCUUCCGCAAUGGACGCAAGUCUGACGGAGCAACGCCGCGUGAGUGAAGAAGGUUUUCGGAUCGUAAA
RNAcentral lists this ribosomal RNA (384 nucleotides) under uncultured bacterium. Its description in RNAcentral is "bacterial SSU rRNA". It matches the Rfam family "Bacterial small subunit ribosomal RNA", at positions 28 to 429 of the family's 1533-position model. The record is from RNAcentral.